RNAcentral lists this ribosomal RNA (424 nucleotides) under Verrucomicrobiota bacterium. RNAcentral describes it as "Verrucomicrobia bacterium partial 16S ribosomal RNA". It matches the Rfam family "Bacterial small subunit ribosomal RNA", at positions 355 to 776 of the family's 1533-position model. The record is from RNAcentral. Lineage: Bacteria; Pseudomonadati; Verrucomicrobiota.
UGAGGAAUAUUGGUCAAUGGACGCAAGUCUGAACCAGCCAAGUAGCGUGCAGGAUGACGGCCCUAUGGGUUGUAAACUGCUUUUAUAUGGGGAUAAAGUGGGGAACGUGUUCCCUUUUGCAGGUACCAUAUGAAUAAGGACCGGCUAAUUCCGUGCCAGCAGCCGCGGUAAUACGGAAGGUUCGGGCGUUAUCCGGAUUUAUUGGGUUUAAAGGGUGCGUAGGCCGUUUGGUAAGCGUGUUGUGAAAUGUAGGAGCUCAACUUCUAGAUUGCAGCGCGAACUGUCAGACUUGAGUGCGCACAACGUAGGCGGAAUUCAUGGUGUAGCGGUGAAAUGCUUAGAUAUCAUGAAGAACUCCGAUUGCGAAGGCAGCUUACGGGAGCGCAACUGACGCUGAAGCUCGAAGGUGCGGGUAUCGAACAGG